This is a non-coding RNA of Ornithorhynchus anatinus (platypus), 87 nucleotides long. Lineage: Eukaryota; Metazoa; Chordata; Mammalia; Monotremata; Ornithorhynchidae. The record is from RefSeq and is marked provisional.
UGUUGAUUUUUAUUUUGGAAGGUAAGAAUCACCAGAAUUCAGUUUAUGUUGAAUUGAAUAGAGUGUUGACCGAGGAUGAAAAUCAUA